CCUACGGGAGGCUGCAGUGGGGAAUAUUGCACAAUGGGGGAAACCCUGAUGCAGCGACGCCGCGUGAGUGAAGAAGUAAUUCGUUAUGUAAAGCUCUAUCAGCAGGGAAGAAAAUGACGGUACCUGAGUAAGAAGCCCCGGCUAACUACGUGCCAGCAGCCGCGGUAAUACGUGGGGGGCAAGCGUUAUCCGGAUUUACUGGGGGUAAAGGGAGCGUAGUCGGCAGUGCAAGUCUGGAGGGAAAGGGGGGGGCUCAACCCCCGGGCUGCUGUGGAAACUGGACGGCUGGAGUGCAGGAGAGGUAAGUGGAAUUCCUAGUGUAGCGGUGAAAUGCGUAGAUAUUAGGAGGAACACCGGUGGCGAAGGCAGCUUACUGGACUGUAACUGACGUUGAGGCUCGAAAGCGUGGGGAGCGAACAGGAUUAGAUACCCGGGUAGUC
RNAcentral lists this ribosomal RNA (440 nucleotides) under uncultured bacterium. RNAcentral describes it as "partial 16S ribosomal RNA". It matches the Rfam family "Bacterial small subunit ribosomal RNA", at positions 338 to 795 of the family's 1533-position model. The record is from RNAcentral.